AUUGAACGCUGGCGGCAGGCCUAACACAUGCAAGUCGAGCGGAUGAAGGGAGCUUGCUCCUGGAUUCAGCGGCGGACGGGUGAGUAAUGCCUAGGAAUCUGCCUGGUAGUGGGGGAUAACGUCCGGAAACGGGCGCUAAUACCGCAUACGUCCUGAGGGAGAAAGUGGGGGAUCUUCGGACCUCACGCUAUCAGAUGAGCCUAGGUCGGAUUAGCUAGUUGGUGGGGUAAAGGCCUACCAAGGCGACGAUCCGUAACUGGUCUGAGAGGAUGAUCAGUCACACUGGAACUGAGACACGGUCCAGACUCCUACGGGAGGCAGCAGUGGGGAAUAUUGGACAAUGGGCGAAAGCCUGAUCCAGCCAUGCCGCGUGUGUGAAGAAGGUCUUCGGAUUGUAAAGCACUUUAAGUUGGGAGGAAGGGCAGUAAGUUAAUACCUUGCUGAUUUGACGUUACCAACAGAAUAAGCGCCGGCUAACUUCGUG
This 484-nucleotide ribosomal RNA is filed under the name uncultured bacterium. RNAcentral's name for it is "partial 16S ribosomal RNA". It matches the Rfam family "Bacterial small subunit ribosomal RNA", at positions 30 to 507 of the family's 1533-position model. The record is from RNAcentral.